Molecule: ribosomal RNA, 482 nt
Filed under: uncultured bacterium
Lineage: Bacteria
Description: partial 16S ribosomal RNA
Rfam family: Bacterial small subunit ribosomal RNA
Source: RNAcentral
AUUGAACGCUGGCGGCAUGCCUUACACAUGCAAGUCGAACGGUAACAGGUCUUCGGAUGCUGACGAGUGGCGAACGGGUGAGUAAUACAUCGGAACGUGCCCGAUCGUGGGGGAUAACGAGGCGAAAGCUUUGCUAAUACCGCAUACGAUCUACGGAUGAAAGCGGGGGAUCUUCGGACCUCGCGCGGCCGGAGCGGCCGAUGGCAGAUUAGGUAGUUGGUGGGAUAAAAGCUUACCAAGCCGACGAUCUGUAGCUGGUCUGAGAGGAUGAUCAGCCACACUGGGACUGAGACACGGCCCAGACUCCUACGGGAGGCAGCAGUGGGGAAUUUUGGACAAAGGGCGAAAGCCUGAUCCAGCCAUGCCGCGUGCAGGAUGAAGGCCUUUGGGUUGUAAACUGCUUUUGUACGGAACGAAAAGCCUCUUUCUAAUAAAGAGGGGUCAUGACGGUACCGUAAGAAUAAGCACCGGCUAACUACGUG